UACGUAGGGUGCGAGCGUUAAUCAGAAUUACUGGGCGUAAAGCGUGCGCAGGCGGUUAUGUAAGACAGAUGUGAAAUCCCCGGGCUCAACCUGGGACCUGCAUUUGUGACUGCAUAUCUAGAGUACGGUAGAGGGGGAUGGAAUUCCGCGUGUAGCAGUGAAAUGCGUAUAUAUGCAGAGGAACACCGAUGGCGAAGGCUAUCCCCUGGACCUGUACUGACGCUCAUGCACGAAAGCGUGGGGAGCACACAGG
RNAcentral lists this ribosomal RNA (253 nucleotides) under Comamonadaceae bacterium. RNAcentral's name for it is "partial 16S ribosomal RNA". It matches the Rfam family "Bacterial small subunit ribosomal RNA", at positions 524 to 776 of the family's 1533-position model. Lineage: Bacteria; Pseudomonadati; Pseudomonadota; Betaproteobacteria; Burkholderiales; Comamonadaceae. The record is from RNAcentral.